ACGGUGGUAGCCAGCCAAAGAGCAUAUGAAAAAUAGCAGUGACGAGGCAAAGGUUUCCACUUUGGUCCAUACUUUCUCUUGGUCCAAUUGUUGUUGCUACAAAGGGACAAAAGGCAAAACAGUCCACUCACAAGCGAAAGCGAAGACGAUGCAAAAAUUGCAAGUCAUUUGGACAUGAUAGACGAAAAUGUACUAAAGUGUGCACAGAUGCAUAUGAAACUCACAAUUAUGAUCAUGUUGGGGCACCCAAUAAUGUUGAGAAUGUAAAUUUGAAUCUGAUAGGAUCAUCCGAUGGCCUAUUGCAAUCAGAUUCACAGCAUGGAUGCAAUAAGGAAUUAAUGGAUAGUAAUUGGUUUCAGAUCAUUCCUCCUGGUCAGGCAUUAAUGUGGGCAUGCAAUCCUUCAUUAAUCCAAAGUCAUGUACAAAACACUAGCUUGUUAGGAGAUGAAAAGUAUUCAGUGAAUGAACCAGAUUUCAGCCAAGACCAUUAAGGAAUUUUAUUCUUGAGAGAGUACAAAUGUUUUUGCACGUCUUUGCUCAAAGCUUUUAGGAUGAUUUAAGUUUCUUCGAAGCUUGCUUGGAAAAAAGUUUGGUGAUCAAAUUUCAGAUAUUGUUAGCAUCCAAGUGCUCUUGGGUUUGUAAACCAGAAAUGUCAAUCCAAACUGAAGCUUUUGAUAGUGAUAUCAGAGCCCUUGAUGCUGGUGAUCAAAUUCUCAAAUCAAGUUACUAGCCUUUUGAUUGCUUCAGAUUUCUGAAGCCAAAGUCUUUGUGCUCUAAAUUCAGUUCUUGGCCAUGUAAUCUUGUCAUGCUUAGAUAGCUAUAUCUAGUGUCCUGCCAGCUUAAUUUUGAUGCGUAAGUAUCAAUUAUUAAAAGUUAGAUUCAUUCUGAUGCUCAAAAUGAGCCGUUUUCUCCUAUUUUGAAAUACCAAUUUCAUAUCAAAUGUCUUGUGCAUGUAGAUUUUGCUGUUUACUUCAAAUUGGACUGGCUUACUUGAUGAGCAGAACUCGAAAAGCAACUCAAAUACUCAUGUUAUACAAUACUCAGCACACGGUUUUUUAGGCUUUAAAACGUCAUUAAUGAAAGUUACCCAUUCGGUUGUUUA
Molecule: non-coding RNA, 1102 nt
Organism: Coffea arabica (coffee)
Lineage: Eukaryota; Viridiplantae; Streptophyta; Magnoliopsida; Gentianales; Rubiaceae
Source: RefSeq, a predicted model, not a curated record